CCUACGGGGGACAGCAGUGGGGAAUAUUGGACAAUGGGCGAAAGCCUGAUCCAGCCAUGCCGCGUGUGUGAAGAAGGCCUUCGGGUUGUAAAGCACUUUCAGUGGGGAAGAAAGCCUUGGGGCUAAUACCCUCGAGGAAGGACAUCACCCACAGAAGAAGCACCGGCUAACUCCGUGCCAGCAGCCGCGGUAAUACGGAGGGUGCGAGCGUUAAUCGGAAUUACUGGGCGUAAAGCGCGCGUAGGCGGUCUGAUAAGCCGGUUGUGAAAGCCCCGGGCUCAACCUGGGAACGGCAUCCGGAACUGUCAGGCUAGAGUGCAGGAGAGGAAGGUAGAAUUCCCGGUGUAGCGGUGAAAUGCGUAGAGAUCGGGAGGAAUACCAGUGGCGAAGGCGGCCUUCUGGACUGACACUGACGCUGAGGUGCGAAAGCGUGGGUAGCAAACAGGAUUAGAUACCCGGGUAGUC
RNAcentral lists this ribosomal RNA (465 nucleotides) under Vreelandella stevensii. RNAcentral's name for it is "partial 16S ribosomal RNA". It matches the Rfam family "Bacterial small subunit ribosomal RNA", at positions 338 to 795 of the family's 1533-position model. The record is from RNAcentral. Lineage: Bacteria; Pseudomonadati; Pseudomonadota; Gammaproteobacteria; Oceanospirillales; Halomonadaceae.